GAAAGAGAGAUUGAAUCGUUAGACAGAGUAGAACCAGUAAAAGAAAAGAGAUACGUAAUCGGUUGGUAUUCUCGGUAAAUGCUCCGAAUUCCGCGUACCCGCCGCCGAUAGAGGCCGUUAUCGGUCUCGACAACCGAGUACGUUCCGCGACGUUCCGAUCGUAUUAGUAGAUCGCGAUUCGUCCAGUCACUUUAGUCGUGAUCGUUCGCACGGUGGAGAAAGAUCGCGGGGAGCCCCGCUGGUACUUCGACGUUCAUUCUUCGGCCACGCAUACUCGCCAGCAGAGUUCGAUCGUGAGUACGUGAGAAAAGUCGUAAGCAAAUAAAACGGAGGCCACCGGGAAAGGGAUCGGAGAAACCACGAAUUUCGGUUUUCCGUGAAAGUUUUUCGCGAGUCAGCAGAUGGUGAAGCUCCUGCGUAGUUGACGAUCAGUAUGGAGGAGAGAAAAGAGGGAGAGAGAGCGAAAGAAAGAAAGAGAGAGAGAGGAUGGGUGAGUAAGGGGGAGAAGGAAAGAAAGAAAGAAUAAAAACGAUGAGCAGCCGGCCUCGUAGCACGCGGGGGUAAAAGUCCGGUCGAAAAUAAUUUCGAGACACGGCUGCUGUCACGUAUACAUACGGGGCCGGCUUAUGCCGCAUUCCGGUCCAGCUUACGAAACGGAACGGAACGAAACCAUUUUUAAUUUUCGCACCGACACUCUCGAGUCCGCGGUCAAGUGAUAUCCGGAGAAGUUCGCUGUUUCUGCUUCCCUUCCUUCUUCUUCUUCUUCUUCGUUCUCUCCGUUCGACUUUGAUGUCGUCGAACGAAUAUUUCACGGAAGAAAACCGCGGAUCGAUCGAUGUGGCGAAACUAACCAAACCGAAGGAAACGUCACGUAAUAGUGCCUGCGCCGCCGGCUAACCUCGUUCUCGCAAUUCACCGGAAGAGGUAAACCACGUGCACCACCUCGGACAUACACAGAGCCUCUUGAGACGGCGGCGAUAGUCUCCUCCGGCUAGCGUAGGCCCGCGUCUGGACAAAGGGAACGGAAAUGGCAUGCGAAUCCCGAUGACGUCAGCCGUCGCCGUGAAAGAAAAAGAAACGCGUAUAGGACGGUGCACGAGACGAAACGAGACGAGACAUGGGACGGUACGGGACGAGAGACGGACGUGGUGGGAGGUUGGAAGGGGCAAGGGGGCGGAGAGGGGCACGCCACAGGACAGAAGAGAAGAGAGGAGGAGGAGGAGAGGAGUUGGCCGAGGCAGCCAGCGAGGAGAACGGGGGAUAAAGGAGAAAGAAAGGGAGGAAGGAAGAUUCCUGGAUCUCCUUUUUCGCGCAGCCGGUUUCGCGUAGACGGCCUUGAAAUUCGUGAGAUCGGAGAACAAUCGGGUACGGGCGUCCGUCCGUGCAGGAUGGUCCACAGUGGCGCCGACCGGUCUCCAUCUUGCCCCACCAUCAUUCUCCACGGUUCGUUAAGGACCCCACCAUACGUCGGGAGCAGGUUUCGGCUCGAGGCUUCCACGCCCGUGUGUAUAGACUGCUUCGUCUGCUCCUGCUGCUGCUGCUGCUGCCGCUCCUGCCAGCCCUCUCUCUAUCGUUGAACCGUUCCGGCCCGUCAAGGACACAGUUCGGUUCAGUGCCGUGCAAAAGAGGGUCAGCCGCGUAGACGAAAAGUUUCAAGGGCAGACACGGCACGACGCUGCGACGCGACGGCACACCGCAGGCCGCUCGCCGCAACGGGGACCCGACCGCCCCUCCGCGCGCGCUCGAGCUCGCCUCGCAUCGCUUCGCCUCGCCUCGCCUCGCCUUGCCGCGCCUCGCCUCGUCUCGCGAUCCGCCGUUCCUCGCGAAAUUUCAAACUGCGCGCGCCUCCUCGCUCUCGACGACCUCCGGCCGACAUUGAAUUUGGGACUUGCACGCGUCUGCUCGCCGCUCGCCGCUGUUCCAUGCCGGUCCUCGUCGAAGCAACGGAACUCCGUCGUCGGACCUGCACACGUCGUCGCAGCUCCUCGCACAGCUGUGUUUCCACCGGAGAGUACCAAGACAGCAACGAACUCUCGGAAAGAUCACUCGGGUCCCGAUGGAAGUGCUCGUGAUGAAUCUUUGCUGAUUUUCGCCGGGAUCCAGUGUGACCGGAUCGAACAGUGUCGAACAGUGCGCGGGACUUGUUCUUUAUCUGUGCGCCGGGGUCAUCGACUCAAUCUGCUCGAAAGAACAGCGGGCGUGAAAGACACGGAGGACUUCGGACAUCGGCGAGAGGAAGCAAGUGUCGUCGGACGAGAACGGACGAACGGACGGGGGAUGAAGUAGCAGAAAUCGCGGGGUCCAAGAAAACCGUCGUCGACGGCAACGAGAAAAAGACGCGAGAAGACGACGCGCGCCAGGGGCGGAGCAAGAGGAGUAGGAGGAAAUAAUAACGACCCCGACGUCGCAGUGCCGCAGAAAGGUUGACGACCCGAUACGCGAGGCGACGCCCUCUCUCCCCUGUCGGCCUGCUAUCCCCUCCUUCGCGACCUCUGCAACCACCAUCCCCUGCAGCAGCCCCCGCCGCCCUCGCCACCCCCUCGGCAACUCCCACUCGGUCUAGCCACCCACCUGGCACUGCACGUCGUGAGCGCAUAGCGUGCGUACGCCAGAACCACCCCUACUCCCUCUCACCCUCUCUCUCUCUCUCUCUCUCUCUAAUUCUAUCUCUGCGUCGCCAUCGCCACCGCACCAUCACCACCACCGAACCACCACCACCAUCACCACCACCACCACCACCACCACCACUGCUAGCAGCAGCAGCAGCAGCAGCAGCAGCACCACAGUCACCCCACGACCGUCUGGCCAGGGUCGGGGUCAUUGAACGUCUAUAAAGAUUUUGACUCUGCGUUACCGCUGCCGCUGAAGCCGACGCCACUGCGGAUGCAGCCUGCGUCGCCCUUCGAGGGGUACGCCCUUUCUUCCUUCCUUCCUUCCUUCCUUGCUUGCUUGUUCGUUUGCUACCUUCCUUCCUUCCUUCCUUGCACGCGCAAGGUGCGCGUCGGGUUCUAAGAAAACGAGAGCCAGCCGUCUCGUCCUGGCCCUUCCCGCAAAUUCAGAACCGGGGGAUCGAUAUCGAAAUUAUCGAGCUCUCCUGGAUUUUCGAGCGGGGUUCGCUGCGCUGAAGCGGGACGGGCACAUAGUCCGCGCGAAUCGGGGACGAUGAACUCACCCCCCGCGCUCGGACGUCGUCGCGGCCGAACGUUAACUCGCCGCCCCGAAUUACAGUUGAAUUCUCCCUAAUUGACGCUCGGAUUGUCCACGAAAAUGGACAAUUUCGGGGCAGCUGGUACGAUUGUUCGAGC
Megalopta genalis is the source of this 3305-nucleotide RNA transcript. RefSeq lists it as uncharacterized. The record is from RefSeq and is a predicted model, not a curated record. NCBI's taxonomy places the organism in Eukaryota, Metazoa, Arthropoda, Insecta, Hymenoptera, Halictidae.